AGUGAACGCUGGCGGUAGGCCUAACACAUGCAAGUCGAACGGCAGCACCGUAAGAGCUUGCUCUUACGGGUGGCGAGUGGCGGACGGGUGAGGAAUACAUCGUAAUCUACUUUUUCGUGGGGGUUAACGUAGGGAAACUUACGCUAAUACCGCAUCCCACCUUCGGGUGAAAGCAGGGGAUCUUCGGACCUUUCGCGAUUGAAUGAGCCGAUGUCGGGUUAGCUAGUUGGCGGGGUAAAGGCCCACCAAGGCGACGAUCCGUAGCUGGUCUGAGAGGAUGAUCAGCCACACUGGAACUGAGACACGGUCCAGACUCCUACGGGAGGCAGCAGUGGGGAAUAUUGGACAAUGGGCGCAAGCCUGAUCCAGCCAUACCGCGUGGGUGAAGAAGGCCUUCGGGUUGUAAAGCCCUUUUGUUGGGAAAGAAAAGCAGCAGGUUAAUACCCCGCUGUUCUGACGGUACCCAAAGAAUAAGCACCGGCUAACUUCGUG
This 492-nucleotide ribosomal RNA is filed under the name uncultured bacterium. Its description in RNAcentral is "partial 16S ribosomal RNA". It matches the Rfam family "Bacterial small subunit ribosomal RNA", at positions 29 to 507 of the family's 1533-position model. The record is from RNAcentral.